Molecule: ribosomal RNA, 328 nt
Filed under: uncultured eukaryote
Lineage: Eukaryota
Description: partial 18S ribosomal RNA
Rfam family: Eukaryotic small subunit ribosomal RNA
Source: RNAcentral
CCCUUAGAUGUUCUGGGCUGCACGCGCGCUACACUGAUGCAUGCAACGAGUUUUCGACCUUGCCUGAAAAGGUUGGGUAAUCUGUUUAACAUGUGUCGUGAUGGGGAUAGACCAUUGCAAUUAUUGAUCUUCAACGAGGAAUUCCUAGUAAGCGCGGGUCAUCAUCCCGCGCUGAAUACGUCCCUGCCCUUUGUACACACCGCCCGUCGCUCCUACCGAUUGAGUGGUCCGGUGAGGCUUUGGGAUCUGAGCGGAAAGAGCGUUUCGCUGUUUCUGCCCGGAAAACUCAGUCGAACCUUAUCAUUUAGAGGAAGGAGAAGUCGUAACA